CCCCACCCGCCGCACCACCACCACCACCCGGACCCCGCCGCCGCCGCCAUACAGCAGCCCAAUCUGGAAGGAGGAGCUGGAUUCGGCACGACCGUGGAGCUGCAGUUCUGCGCCUCCUGCUCGUACAAGGGAAAUGCAAUGACCAUGAAGCGCAUGCUGGAAACAUCAUUUCCUGGCAUUAAUGUUUUCUUGCAUAAUUAUCCGCCAGCUUUCCCCAAACGGGUACUGAGCAAAAUCAUGCCAGUUAUUCAAGUUGGAGCCAUUGCAACAAUAAUGGCUGGUGACCAGAUUUUCCCCAGACUUGGCAUUACUCCACCUCCAUUGUUUUACUCGUUGCGUGCCAAUAGAUUUGGAACCAUGGCGACAAUUUGGCUCAUUGGCAAUUUUGCCCAAUCUUUCCUACAAAGUUCUGGUGCCUUUGAAGUUUACUGCAAUGGAGAUUUGGUUUUCUCGAAGUUAGCCGAACAGAGGUUCCCUAGCGAGUUUGAGCUGCGCGAUCUCAUCGGCAGCAGGCUGCCACCUUCUCCAUUCGGGAAAAACAUGGGAAACGUCUUGUCUUAGUCGAUGAUCUCAGAACAUCGGACGCAGCGCCGAUGUAUCUCUAGUUCUCUACUAAGGUAUUUUAUGGUUAGGUAGCUGAUGUUGAUCCUAUCGAACUCCACAGCUUGCCUAUAAACACUAGCUUCCGAAUAUGUGCGUGGUUUGUAAAUGCCCUAAAAAUAACUUGCACGAGACAGUGACUGACAGUGCGAUGCUGCUGUAUGAACACCUCCCACUAUAAUCGUGAUUGCCUGAUGCUGCUAUGCUACUGGCAAAAGU
This 819-nucleotide ribosomal RNA is filed under the name Triticum aestivum (bread wheat). RNAcentral describes it as "partial small subunit ribosomal RNA". The record is from RNAcentral. Lineage: Eukaryota; Viridiplantae; Streptophyta; Magnoliopsida; Poales; Poaceae.